Molecule: long non-coding RNA, 2289 nt
Filed under: Mus musculus (house mouse)
Lineage: Eukaryota; Metazoa; Chordata; Mammalia; Rodentia; Muridae
Description: long non-coding RNA chr6:140971914-140974203
Source: RNAcentral
GACCAAUCAGGGGAUAUUGCUAUGCAUGUACUAUUCACUCACUAAUUCCUUUUCAUAAAUUUUAUAACUAUUCUGGUGUUCUAGUUAAUUAAAAAAUGAACGGAUUCUCAACUAAAGCCAUAGUAGGACCUAACAAAAACAACAAUAGCAACAGCAGCAGCAGCAACAACAAUAAAAAAACAGCAACAACAAUAAUAAUAACAGCAACAACAGCAACAACAAUAACAAUAACAGCAACAACAGCAAUAGCAACAGCAGCAACAACAGAAACAGCAACAGCAGCAACAGUAGCAACAACUAUAACAAUAGCAGCAACAACAACAGCAACUGCAACAACAAUAACAACAAAACAACAACAGCAACAACAACAGCAACAGCAGAAACAACAGGAACAACAGAAACUACAAAAAAGCAACAACAGCAACAGCGCAACAACAAUAGCAACUGCAACAAAAGAAACAACAAUAGCAACAGCAACAACAAUAGCAGCAGAAAAAACAACAACAAGAAAAGCAACAGCAGCAACAACAGGAACAACAACAGCAACAAUAGCAAAAGCAACCACAAUAACAGCACCAACAACAGCACCACCACCAGCAGCUAUAACAAUUGCAGCAACAACAACAAUAACAAUAAUAGCAACAAAAAACAACAGCAACAACAAUAACAGCAGCAGCAACAACAGCAACAACAAUAGUAGCAGCAGCAACAACAAGAGAAACAACAGAAGCAACAACAGGAAUAACAACAGCAACAAUAGCAAAAGCAACAACAAUAACAGCAACAACAACAGCAACGCAGCAACUAUAACAAUAGCAGCAGCAACAACAAUAACAUCAACAACAAUAACAGCAGCAACAAUGACAACAGCAAAACAGCAGGAACAAUAACAGCAACAGCAACAAUAACAACAGCAGCAGCAACAACAAUAACAUCAACAACAAUAACAGCAGCAACAAUGACAACAGCAACAGCAAAACAGCAGGAACAACAACAGCAACAGCAACAAUAACAACAGCAGCAGCAACAACAGGAAGUACAACAACAGCAACAAGAACAGCAGCAGCAGCAGCAACAGCAACAGCAAUAGCAACAACAACAGCAAAAACUAAAUCAAAAAUCACCAUCCCCUGUCUGACUUGCAAACGGCCCAUGUACUUCGGCUAGCUUCAAACUUCCAUAGAUCUGCCUUGCCUCUGCCUUGAGAGCUGGGCUCAAGGGCAUGUACCACCACACUGUCGUUUUUCCCACUCCUGUAGACAGAGGACUUUUAAUAAUGAAUCACAGUGCUGUUUGCUUCUGAUUUUGAAUUCAACCUCCAAAGCUUUCUCCAAAUCAUUGUGGAUGAAUGAUAUCAAUCCUCUGUUUCAGUAUCACUCUCAGUUAAUGGUACCAAUCACUUGCCCUUGCUGCUUGAACCCUGCUAUUGAGCUUUUGUGUUUGUGUUUCUUUCCUUUUUAAAAGAAUGUUUUCUUUAUUUUGGGGGGAUUGUAAUACCACUAUAUCAUUUUCCCCUCCCAUGUCCCUCUCCUUGUCCCCUUUCUUAUCUCUGUGCUCAAUUUUCAGUAAACAUUGUUAUAUACAUAUUCACGUAACAUUUUUGCCCGCAAGCUGUGACCUUUUUAAUUGUCAGCUUGGCAAGGUUUAUACUCAUAGUUAAUCUCUGAGCAUCUCUGUAAAGGCAUUCCACUGAGGGUGUUGAGGUCUAUCCUGUCUGUGGAGUUUCUCUGGAUAAAAAACGAUAGUUAGCUGACACCAGCACACUUUCCUGCCAUAUAGGACUGAACCCUUAAACUGGGAGGCAAGAUAAUCCCUUCUUUUUAAGUUGCCUUUGUCAUAUAUUUCAGCCUAGUAACUCUCAGCAGAUCUAGACUAAUGGUACUAAAGACCCUAUACUUUCCCAGUAAUGUCUUAUCUGGGAGCUUUCAUGUUUACAGAUCCUAAUUUACAUGGCUUUUGGUAUUAAAAACACCACUGCUCCUUUGUCUCCCCUCCCCCACCCCCUUCCCUUUUACCAUCUGUGACAAGCCCAUCAUCUUUAUUCAGCACCGGGGCUUCCUGUUUAAUCAUCCCAGCGGUUGAGCUAUGAGAGAUCUCGACUCGCAGUAUUUAUGGUUAAUCUUAGAUUUCAAUGUAUUCCGACCUUUGCGUUGACUCUUCUGGUAUAAAUAAAAAGAUGAUGUUUAAACACAUUCUGUGGUUUUGCUUUUUGCCUUUCCUUUCUCUAGCACAGGGAACCAAUCAAGGCAGGCUGUAGCAGAGGUAAAACAGGGAUGCAUAAAAUACCCU